RNAcentral lists this long non-coding RNA (259 nucleotides) under Rattus norvegicus (Norway rat). Its description in RNAcentral is "long non-coding RNA NONRATT032687". The record is from RNAcentral. Lineage: Eukaryota; Metazoa; Chordata; Mammalia; Rodentia; Muridae.
GGAAAAUUUUACUUUCCAGUUUUUCUUUCUUCAAGGUUCUUCUAAAGGAUUCUAUCUAAUGCUGUCUUAUUUGUCUUCCAGCCCCACCGACCCGAGACCCCUUCCCCUACAUCCUGGUGUCUGCACAUUUCCAGAGCUACCCACAUUCUCCAUGCAUCAUCCUGUGCUCAUCUUGUUAUCUGCUGCACUUGGUCCUCUAGUCCUGAAGAACAAGCCAUGGUGCUGGAGGGCCUCCAGGCCAUGGGGAUGCUGCAUUUAA